Molecule: long non-coding RNA, 230 nt
Filed under: Gossypium barbadense (sea-island cotton)
Lineage: Eukaryota; Viridiplantae; Streptophyta; Magnoliopsida; Malvales; Malvaceae
Description: long non-coding RNA (GBAR_LNC001425)
Source: RNAcentral
GUUCUAAAUGUUCCUCUUACUUGGAUGAAUCGAGCCUAGCCCUUCAACUUGGGGGUCUAUAGUUGAGGUUCUGGCUAUUGACUAGAAGGAUAGAAAAAGAGGGUUGGGGAGGAUAUAUCCAUGUCCGAGUUAGGAUGGACAUUACUAAGCUAUUGUGUAGAGUUUUUAAAUUCCAGAGUUUGGGUUUGAAUGGAUAGUUUUGGUAAACUACAAGAGGCUCCCAAACUCCU